Long non-coding RNA from Mus musculus (house mouse), 10278 nucleotides. RefSeq annotates it as predicted gene, 53411. The record is from RefSeq and is a predicted model, not a curated record. NCBI's taxonomy places the organism in Eukaryota, Metazoa, Chordata, Mammalia, Rodentia, Muridae. The transcript has 2 exons.
GCUCCUCCUCCUCCUCCUCCUCCUUUUCCUCCUGCUCCUCCUGCUCCUCCUGCUCCUCCUGCUCCUGCUCCUGCUUCAGUUCAGCUCGGGAAAGAGCUGCCUCCCUGCAGUCUCUGACCUGACCUGUCCUCUCAGACUACAGCUCUAGGUGUGCCUCAGAUGCUCCUGCCUCUAGAAGCCACCUCCAGAUAACUGGGUCUGCUGUAAGCAUGGUGUCAAGGGUCUUAAACAUCCAGAUGAGUCCAGUCCUCUCAGACCUGGGCCUGAGAAAAAGUGGGAUGGCCUGGAAAGUCAGGUUAUGGGGAGUCACCUGAGAACUGGAUCUUUUUUCCUGGAUCUAGGCCUUGGUCUUACUAUAACAGUAAAUUCUCUUCCCUCCUGCCAUGGCAGUCCAGAGUGAAAGUGUGGACAGUUAAUGGUGGGAGGACAUUGUUCCAUGUAGGCAGUAGCCAGCAUCUCUGUGAAUAGUGGCUUUGCUGCCCCUCUGUGGGACUCCUGACAUGGUCCAGCAGACAGGGAAAGUUACAAGGUGUAUGUCUGAGCCAGGAUACAUCCCUUUGGUCAAAACUUGAUCUUGAGGUCACACCUUUUACAGAGGAGUCUGGGAAAUACCUAGUUGUUCCCCCAAGGGGGGAAAAAAAGACAACAUGCUGUUAUCAGUAGGCCGAACUCUCUGGUGUUGUAUUUUAACCAGAUAGCUGUUAACUCAUGAACAAAGUGCCUCCCCUGUAGUUAGAGUCCCAGUCUCUUGGCUCUUUUGCCAGCUCCCAGUCAGUACUUGGACUUGGCUGACUUGGAGAGUGUCACUCUUCUUGUGAUUAGAAGUGAAGGUGAGGGCUCACCUUGUCAGCCACUGCUGUGGCCGAGCAUUGCCGGCUAUGAAAAUGCUGAUCCUGGGCUGGGUGUGCCACACAGGUGGCUCUGGAGCCCUCUUGUCUGUGUGCUAGUAGACAAACGGGGAACAGCUCCCAUGUGGUGACAGCAACUCCCGGCUUGGCAUAUAUACUUUGGUGGAAUAUAGUUUCUGCGGUAAAUGGGUCAGCCUUUUAAACUUGUACAAUGUUUAUUAAAAAUAAAUCCCCAACACAUCAUACAUAAAAGUUCACAUAUACUUAAUAUGAGACUAAUUUCGAGGCUAAACAGAUAUGCGUGAAUAAAAGCGGCACAUGAGUGGCGAGUUGAGGGACAUUGUAUGGGGCCAAAAGGCUCAAAUGCAAGGCCACCUUGUGUGGUGUGUAGUUCCAGUGUGUGCUGCCUGUAUGACUUCUCUGUAUCAUCUUCCCUCUCUGUAGCAUGUCCUCACACCACAGGCCAAGUGUGUUCUGUGACUGGUAGAUACUUUGGUUAUUAGAGAACACUGUAUUGCAUCAUUUAAUUUUGCCAACGAUCCUGUGAAAGGUGUUAUUACUACCAGCUUAUCAAUGAAAAACUAUUUGCCUGGCCACGUUCUAACCAUGAGUCCUCCUGCUCCUCUGUCUGGCAGUAAUUCAGGAGGCCACUCUAGUAGUGUCCCUUCUGUCUCUGAAACCUCACACUUCCUAUGCUGCUGGAAUACUCUUGUGCAAGGCAUUACAUGGGUCUGUGCUUCCAUUUGUCCUGGUACCUACCUGAGAAUGGAGUUGCAGGACCAUAGGGCCGAGCAUGAUAAUUGUAUAAAAUCCCAAGAACACUUUCCAGAACGGCUACACCAGAAAUGGGUAAGGCUCCGCCCUACGAUACUCCCACUGACAUAAAGCUCCGCCCUGAGGCACUCCCACUGGCAUAAGGCUCUGCCCUGAGACACUCCCACUGACAUUUGGAUUGUUAUUCUUUUUCAUUUUUGUUUUUCUAUUCCUUGAUGACUUGGGAAUUUUAAUACCUUUUAAUGUGCCUUUUGGUCAUCGUUCUGUUGUAAGAUAUGUUUUGACCUUUUAUUCUCACAAUUUAUCAGGGCUUUAUUAAUGAAUUAUAAAGGAAUUUUUAACUUUUGGUAAUUAUUGGGGGCAGUAGUGCCAUGGUGCACUGCUGUGGAGGGCAGAGGACACUUGCAGGGGUUGACAGUCUCAUGUGGGUCUCAGGAUCAAGCUCAGGUGGCCAGUCUCAGCCACACACAGCUUGACCAACUCAGCUAUCUUGCUGGCCAUUUGAGGAUUUUUAUAUCCUGCAUACAAGUUCUUUGUCAACUAUGUAUAGACUAUGUAUAGAUUGCCUUUAGGAAAGGAAACGUUUUAAAUACAUGAGUUGGGGAAUGUUGAAUUUCCAACUCUUGCGCUUCUCCUCACCCCUCUCCCUGCUUUUGAGUUUUGAGGGAGUAUCUGCAGGUCAAGGAAUGUCGUAGACGGUCCAUGCUCCAGCUCUCGGGUCGUCACCUCUGCCCUCUGAGCCUUAUUUUUAUGAAGUCUAAAAUGGGGAUGUAAGUCGCCCGCCUCUUUGGGCUGCUGUGACAGUAACAUGACCUAGUGUCCAGCUCCUAGCAAAGAACAUCACAGCUGAGACAUGGUUGUCGGAUACCCUGUCACUAAGGCUAGCAAUGCCCCAGGCUCCUUCUGUCUCCCUCAGGAUAGAGAAAGCCUCAGCUUCCUUCCCUUGUGUAAGUGAAACCUUGGCCUCGCUUCUACACCCCACUUCCUGGUCACAAAAGGCUCUUAAAGGAGCCUCUUCCUCUGAGGGCCCAGAUAACUUCCUCUCCAUCUGACCAGCAUCAUCCUCCUGCCUCCACUUCCCUAUUGUCUACCCUGUGUGUUGCUGCUGCAAUUACCAAGCUGCCUUUCUAAACUAGAAACUUGGGGCUCCUGGGUAGGUGUUCAGGGGAGACUACUUUGUAAGGGCAAGGCUUGGUUAUAAAUGGUCUCACCUCUGAGUUUAACUAACAGGCUCUAUUCUUAGCCAACCAGCAGGUCCUUCUGCCUUACCUCCUAGAGCCUCCAUUGGGCCUCCCUGGCUGUCCUUACUAGAGACAGGCCAUUCCUUUGCCUUUGGCAGGGCCCAGUCCUUCCAUACGUGAUCAGAAAAUUCAAUUAUAAAGCCAAUUACCGAUUUCCUGAGCUUUACAAGGAGACAUGAAAGUUUGAUUAAGUUUGAAUUCCUCUGUGGCUAAUUGCCAGCCAAGGCCAACUAGGCUGUGGGGGACUUUUGUUCUUGAUUCUGGUUUUUUGUUUUGUGGCAGUGUUCCCGGGAUAGGGGAAAGGUUUUGUGUUGUGGUCUUUGUAGCCUCCUUACUUGCUGAAAGGCUCUUCCUCCGUUGUGAUGCAUGAGAUGUAAAUCCCCCAAAGACUCGUUACCAGGGUGACAGUCUCCGGAAUUGAGCUCAGCUAAACAAAGUCCUUCGGAUUUGAAGGGAACAGUGUUUAUUUCCCAUGCUAAGGCAAGCUCUAGUGCCCACAACAAGGCUGUGUUCAAGGACGCCUGCCUGCGUGAACAGGGACACAAAAGCAGCUCGCUGGUCCCCUCCUUGGCUGCAGCAGUGUGGCUGGGCUCUGGCUGCUUCCCACCCAACACAAAAGCACGGGCAGAUGCCGAGGCCACAGAGCAUGGCUUCAGAGGGUGCCUCCGACCAGAUGGUUCCCUGGCCCAAGAACCUGCAGCGCUGGCCCUCAGCCAGUGGCAGUCUGCUGAGUGCCAACAGCAAGGCGGAGGGUAGGUGGAGCUGGGGAGCCACCCUGUCCCUAGCAAUACACCUAGCUAUUUCAGCCACUUCUGGGAAAUGGAACUGGCCUGUGGUCAGAGCAGACUGGAGCUCCAUGUCAAUGUCUGUGUUGGCUCUGGGGUACCAUUUCUUCCCCUAGGAAUAGAAGGUGGUGACCCCCAGUUUUCUGGAAGUGGUUGCCAUCAUAGACCUCUUCUUGAAAGGUGUGUGUUAUCUAAGAAACUCAAAACUACUGCCCAUGAAAUUCCCCACAUAGAGAUAGAGCCCUUUGUCUUUUCUAAGCGUGUAGGGUUCUAGAGCUCUGCUUAAAGUCCUAGUACCCCUGGAAGAAGAAACACCUACCCACAAAACAUUAACCCUCGGUUAGUGGGCACUAAGGACAAAGCCCAACAUGGGUCAGAUAAACCUCACCUCCCUCUAAGCUCCAUUGAGUCCCAAACUUGUGACUUCUUACCUCAGAUAUCCUUGGCAGUGCCCCACAAAGCAUCCUGCCUUUUCUCCUCAUCCACACAGCAACCUCAAGAGUCAGAGUCUUAAGUACAGGCAAGGAAGCCAUGGGUCAGAGUGGCCAGCCACUUUGCCCAGCCUCACCCAGCCGCCCACUGCAUGGAUGUCUUGGGCACAGUACACCUGCUUGCUUUGAUUGGCUUGUUUGUGUACAUGUCUGUUUGUUUUAGGAGGUGAGAAUUUUUGCAAAGUCUGAAUUUGGGUGUUGGGUUUUUUUUUUCUUUUUUAAUGAAACUGUACAGCUUCCUAGUAGAGUUGUAAUUAGGAAAUGCUGUGUUAGUCAGCAAGGCAGAAUUGAAAAAUAACCAGGCAGUGCUAGAUGGGGUGCUUUCCCCCCUCCUUAGAAAUUUCAGUUUUGCCACACUGGGGGAGAGGGAGUUGUGAAGAGAGGGAAGAUGCGUGCGGCUGAGCAGGACGGCGGCGGCGGAGGCUGUGCUCCUGCUUUCUACAGAGUUCAAAAGCAACAAGAAUCCUUGUGAGGGCUACUUUUCCUAUCUGUCAAACAGGGGUGAGGUGAGGAGGGAGCAGGUGAAGGAGGAGGCUAGGAGGCCAGGCCUCUCUUUGUCAGGAAGGGAUAGGUAACUGCAGGGAACCCUAUCAUCACCUCGGUACCAGCAAGCCAGUGGCACUGGGAAAGGCCACAGCAGCACCUACAUGCUGAGCGUAUAUAUGCCAGGCAGUGUGCCAGGGACCCUGUUUCUGGUUUUAUCCCAGCCAACAGGCUCCAUUUAAUCGCCAUAUGUUUAUCUUAGUGUGAAUCCAAGAAAUAAUAAUUGUGCAAGGUAUGGACUUGAACUUUGUUUAAAGUGAGUUAGAUAAAUGAAACAUCUUAAGAAUGUGAGGGCCUGUGGCAUCUCACAGAUGGAGCAGAUAUUCUGGCAUAGGGCCAGAAAGGUCUUGGAUGCUGGGGAAACUCACCAUAUUCCCCCCAGUUAUGGAAAAGGAGCCUGAAGCUCAGAAAGACUGAGCAACAAAUGUGACCUAGCUGAUAGCUAGCACAGCCAACACUCGACUCUGCAGAUCAGAUGAGAGCCCAGGGCCCAGGUAAACGUUCUCAUCUUUGCUGUGCCCUGGCUUCCACCUUCCCAGAGCUGCCCACUGCAGAGAUCCUUUUUUUUUUCCUCUUAUGACGCAAACCAUGCUCUGGGGAGUUGGGGCCUGAGUCGUGCUUCCUCUGAACCAAUGCACAGGAUCCACUGAAAAGCCCUUUCAGAAGGGGCUGGCAUGAUGCUGCAUGUGCCUGGCAGAGCUGUGGUUGCCAAGCAUUGACUGAGCCACCAUGGUUCCACACAACCCAAAGGGGCCUGUCCUUUCUUCCCUGGUCUCUGCAUCUAUUACUCCCUCUCUUGUCUCUGAAUGACUUUUGAUAAUGAGCUAUGCACUUGAUACAUCAAAUAACUCGGGGUUUUUUUAAACGCCUCUUUCUGUAAACUGUAACCUCCAAGCUACGCUCCCAGCUAAUUGUGCAGAGCUGGCCACAUUUUUAAAUGUGCACUGGGCUCUAGCCGAGGGCCAGCUCCGCCCAGAGCAGCAGGUGGGGAAAGGGCAUUUUCAGCAGGAUGGAAAUCAGUUGGUACACAAGCAGCUCAGCCAGGUUUACGGCCCUGCUGGGGGGAAAUCAGCACAGCUUACCUGAGGAGGGAGCGUUCGCCGGAGCCCAGAAUCCUUUCAGAUGCCCACAUUUUAUAAUUGAGCAGGAUAGAUCUAACCUGGGGUUCUAAGGCUACAAGCCCCAAAAUGAAAAUCGGGUGAGUGUGGGUACACAUAUGUACGUGUGCCUCAACUUUUCUGAGACUUAACUGACUAAACUUUGAGACUGAGGCCUUCCUCUCAUCCCAAAAGUGGCUGCCUGAGUACCCACUUGGCUCUCAGCCACAACACACCUGUAGCUAGCUGUACAGCCCAGAGCAACUGCCACCCACCGACUGCUCUGCGGGCUCCCCUGUCCGCAGUGGCUUCUGUUCCUUUAGCCCUCACAGCACCUAGAGCCCUUCAGAGCUUACAGUGAGUGGGAAUGCUGACAUUUGGGGAGUCGCACAGUCUGAGGCAGAGUCGGGAUGGAAAUCUAAGAUGACCUACCUCCAGCUUCCUCACUGGGUGUAUCUGAUAAAUGAGGCAUGUUAGAAACAUGAUGAUACGGAAUGAACAGAAAGGAAUACAGGUUGGGAAGCUUGUCUGCAUGCCUUUGUGAACCAGAAAAUGCAGUUAUCCUCAUCCAAAAAAUGGGUUGAUGCCUUUGAGCGCAUCCCUGAAAAGCAAAUGAUAAUACUCGGAGGUGAGUGCGAAGAUUACCUGAGACCGGGAGCUUGAGCCCACCAGCCUCUUAUGUAAGCUGCCUUCAGAGUUGCCAACUGACCCAACAACAAGAGGAAUGUUUCUGAAACAUUAUGUUACAAAUGAGCUUGACUUUCUCCCACUGAUUUCAGCACUGCAGCACUGCACAGUUUUAGUUUUAGGCCCCAGGUCCCUGACAUACUAGUGUUGGCCUGCCUUCUCCCAAGUGGCCAGUCUCACCCACCCCCACCCCUAACCCCCAACCCCACCCCCAACCCCACCCCCAGUGCAAGGACCGAAUCCCUCAGGUUCCCAAGUGCUCUACUGUUAGCCCAGACUGUGUGAGUACAACUGACUUGGCAGACAGGGAACAAGAGCUCAGUGGUCCAGACAGCAGAGCUUGGGGCCAGCAUAGAGCACUGCACCAGAUCGGACUCUGCCUUUGUUACACUGUUAAACUGCUUCCUUGGCCUCCAGCAAUCACAGUCCUCUGUGAGCAGAUCCCGGUGACUUGAGUUUUCUUGUGAAGAUUCCGCUGUAUCCAGAGGAGACGUGGCGGCCCCCUCCCCUUCCCCCUGCCUCAGAUUCCCUUUAUGUCUGCAGGCAGCCGUCUCCCUCCUCUAUUCUUCUUUGCACUUAGCAACCAUCUUUUCCCAAGGCUGCUUGUCAUCUGCGCCUAUGUCCUCCCAUAUAUCUCCAGUGUCUUCACACCACCGGUGGCUAAGCAGAGAUCCUUUUCCUCUGAUCUGGGGUGAUGCCCCAGAAGAGAAGGCAGAGGAAAGCAACCUGCUAUGGCUACUUAUGUGACUUCACCUUUGCUCUUACUGUGCCAGCUCUAGCCAUGGCUCAGGUAGGAUACAUCAGAAAGACUCAGACUCUGCCUUCUCAGUCUUUUCAAGGCUUAGACACAGAAACUCAUCCCCCAACCAAUUGGUGUGAUUCAGAGCCCAGUGUGAUACUCCGAGGAAAGCUAGGUGUUGACGCAGAUAAUCUGAACCAGACUCCACCAGUGUCUCCAGCCUUGCAGAGUGUCACAGGUGUGCCUGAGGAACCACCUCCAGUCAUUUCCUGAGUGGCAGACCCAAAGGAGGAGAAAAUUGAGAAGUAUCAAGAAGGGGCGGAGCUUGAGUGUGCAUCCAGAUGGUGAGGCCCUCUGGAGCAGGCAGCUCCUCGGACACUCAGAUACCUAAAGCACUUGCACAGGGGCAGCAGCAUAAUGAUGAUGGACAGUAACUUCAGAGAUGCUCCAAAAUAACUAAAUCCAGAGUGGCUUGCUUUGGCUUCUGCUCUCCUCCUGACCACCACCCUCCAUCCUUGAGGGUUGCUGUUUCUCAUAGUGUUAAGCUUCUCCUCUGCAUCUUCUCUGCAUGAAUGGAUUAAGCCUCGAGCUAAAGAAGCUGCAGCCUCUGUCUAGUGCAGUUCCUUCAUUCCAUAGACAUGUGAUAGGGGAACCUAAAGUCUCCUAAUCCUCGGGUUCAAUGUUUUUUUCAACCUUUCUUUACCAUAUUCAUUCAACAAAUGUUUAUCACUUACUAUGUGUCUGACUUAUUGGAUACAAGAGGGUGCCCAGUGUGGGCAUUCUGGUGGAGGGGAAUAGACUGUAGGUACAACCCACAGAGGGUAGAGGCCACACUCAGUGCCACGUCAACAGAGAGGAACAGAGGUUCUCAGCCCAGACAUUUGUGAGCCCCUGUCUGGAAUCUCUUUGAUUCUCAGUGCCUUUGCCUAGAGUUUUAGAGGCCCAAGUUCUCUGCUGAAUUCCAGUCUUCUCUCAGGGCUGCUGAAGACCUGGGGCUACCAAGGCAAGUGGGUCACUGGCCCUGCUUCAGGCUGCUAGUCCUGUAGUGUUGUUGAGCCCCAUAGGACACUCGCACCAGUGAAGACAAUGGGUACGAUAGAUGAUGGAACUUGAAGUUGAGCUUAACUUUCCAGUUCCUGAGGGAAGAAGGAGCCUCCGGACUAAUUACACAAUUAGACUCAAAGAUCGUUUUGUGGGUUUCUCUGGGGAAGGGCAGAUAUAGGCAAACCCUUUACACCUCCCUGAUCACAUACUGUCUGCAGGCUGCAUUUUCAAUACUCUAAUCCAGAUGACUUACGAGGAGUACUAAAGGGUCUGAAAUUCAGAUAGGAAACCCAGAACCUCGAGGCCGACCAUCCUGUGCCGUACAUGACUCACUUCUAUAGCGUCCCGUGCCACCCACUUCAGACAGCACAAGCUGAAGGCCUGCUGUGCCCACACAUGCAGGCUGCACCCAUGUGGCUGUGCCACUGUGUCAGUCACACGUAGAUGCCAAGGGAAGACACUCCCACCUCUGCUGGAACACACCCAGCAUCCUUCUCCAAGUGCUCUCGAGGUAUCAGGACAGCCAGGAGUCCUAGAGUCCCGGUUCUGGUUACCAGUGACGUCAGCUCCCCUCAUGGCUUAGCUGCUAGUCUGGGUAAACUAGCAAACCUUGAGAAUGAAUUCUGGGCCGUUCCUCCUCUGCCUCUUGCCUCCAGCUCACCCUGUCACUGCCUGGCCCGCUAAGGACAAAGUACUGGCAUUUGGCACCCAUCUCAGCUCAUGGCCUGGAAUACAUCCAUUCACGAAGCAGUACCUCCUGACUGAAACAGCAGUGAGCAUAGCUGAAGUGGGCCCAGCCCUCGCAGGGCUUAGCAGCUCCCUGGGAAGAGAAAGAGUCAGCAAGGAGACAAGACUGUUUGUUUACAUGCUGUGAUUGAUGGUUCAUUUAAAGAAACAAAAAGAGUGCUAAAAGUAGCGAUAUCUGCUUUUGGUAGUUUAGGGAAUGGGUACAGGGAAAUCCAGAAUUACCCUUCUCUUCUAAGUUCUCUUUAGACUGAGACAAAGAAGAGGAGUUGACUCUUGCAGCCUGGAGAUCAAGGAAGAGCUGGUGCAAAGGCCAGGAGCUCUGUCUGGCGGUUUCUGGACUGGCAUCAGGGGUCCGUGCAAAGUCUGCAGAUAGGUGGGGUGGUUGGAGAGUGGCUGUGAGUGAGACACAGGGGAGAUGAGACUCCAGAGCCUGCCUGGCCUGUGCAUCGAGCACAGGAUGACGUCAUGGCCCAUCUUAAGGAGGGGUCUUAGGAACUGUGUUGGUCUUAAGUUGGUCCAAGUCCUACAAAUCCGAGACUUGAAUGACUGACAUUUAUUGUCUCGUAUGUAAUACUAGAGGCCAGAAAUCAGCGAUCACGAUGGCAACAGGCCUGGGUCUCCUGUGAUUUUCAUCAGUGAGCUGUAGAUGAUCAUCUUGUGCCUGUAUUUUCAUGAGGUCUUCCUUCUUUAUGCAUCUGUGUCUUAGUCUCUCACAAGAUGACGACCUUCCUUCAUGGUCUCAGCCAGAGCACCUCUUUAAAGAUGGAAUCCCACAAUACAAUUGUAUUGUGCAUUAGUGGGGAUGGGCAUCAUGGCAUAGGAAUUUUAGGAACACUUGAGUCAGCUUCUAAAGGUCUUCCCUAGCGCAUCCAUGGCAGAUGAGGUAGAGAAAUGGCCACGGCACCUCAGGAAGCCACAGGAGACCAGCUUCAAAGCUCCCUGCUCCCUCUUUGUAAGACUAAGGAGGGAUAGGACACCCGGCCCCAGCUACCCCAGCUUCUUCUCUGCCCACCCAUGGCAUGGCCCUGUGUCCAAGAAAUGCCAUGAGUGUGUGCUGAAUUCGGUAGUGACCUCACAGCCCCUCCAGCUGGGUUUCUGCAAGCUCUGGUGCUGGUGGACAGCCUACUCCAACUGCUGAGCCUCAGGUCAGGCCUCUAGUUACUCUCUCCACCAUACACUGAAGAUAAAAAUAGCUACAAGGAAGAAAAGGCCUUCAGGAAAUUACCCUGAAAUUCAGAAAACACGAAGCCAGGUGCCAUCUAAUUAAGAUGACAUUUUAAAA